RNAcentral lists this ribosomal RNA (253 nucleotides) under uncultured bacterium. RNAcentral describes it as "partial 16S ribosomal RNA". It matches the Rfam family "Bacterial small subunit ribosomal RNA", at positions 524 to 775 of the family's 1533-position model. The record is from RNAcentral.
UACGUAGGGGGCGAGCGUUGUCCGGAUUUAUUGGGCGUAAAGAGCUCGUAGGCGGUUCGGUUAGUCGGAUGUGAAAUCUCCACGCUCAACGUGGAGGCGCCAUCCGAUACUGCCGUGACUCGAGUCCGGUAGGGGAGUGUGGAAUUCCCGGUGUAGCGGUGAAAUGCGCAGAGAUCGGGAGGAACACCUGUGGCGAAAGCGGCGCACUGGACCAUAACUGACGCUGAGGCGCGAAAGCUAGGGGAGCAAACAG